AACGAACGCUGGCGGCAGGCCUAACACAUGCAAGUCGAGCGAAGCCUUCGGGCUUAGCGGCGGACGGGUGAGUAACGCGUGGGAACGUGCCCUUUGCUACGGAAUAGCCCCGGGAAACUGGGAGUAAUACCGUAUGUGCCCUUCGGGGGAAAGAUUUAUCGGCAAAGGAUCGGCCCGCGUUGGAUUAGGUAGUUGGUGGGGUAAUGGCCUACCAAGCCGACGAUCCAUAGCUGGUUUGAGAGGAUGAUCAGCCACACUGGGACUGAGACACGGCCCAGACUCCUACGGGAGGCAGCAGUGGGGAAUCUUAGACAAUGGGGGAAACCCUGAUCUAGCCAUGCCGCGUGAUCGAUGAAGGCCUUAGGGUUGUAAAGAUCUUUCAGUGGGGAAGAUAAUGACUGUAUCCACAGAAGAAGCCCCGGCUAACUCCGUGCCAGCCGCCGCCGUAA
RNAcentral lists this ribosomal RNA (449 nucleotides) under uncultured bacterium. RNAcentral describes it as "partial 16S ribosomal RNA". It matches the Rfam family "Bacterial small subunit ribosomal RNA", at positions 29 to 523 of the family's 1533-position model. The record is from RNAcentral.